UGUUGAAUGAUGAAAGCAAUCAUUCGGAUUCCCAAUGAUAAUAUAUAUGAUCUUACAAUCACUUUCUGACAACA
Non-coding RNA from Lupinus angustifolius (narrow-leaved blue lupine), 74 nucleotides. Lineage: Eukaryota; Viridiplantae; Streptophyta; Magnoliopsida; Fabales; Fabaceae. The record is from Rfam.